AUUACCUCCUAAGCAUAAUCGAUUAUUCAACGUCAAAACUCAAAAUCUGGAAGUUAUGAGCAGAUAAUUGAUUAUCAUCAGGGAUUCUUGAGCAGAUAAUCGAUUCUUGCAAUUUCUGGGCAGCAAUUCUUGAGCAAAUAAUUGAUUAUCUCGAGCCAUAAUCGAUUAUCAUGCUAACAGUUUCAAAAAUAGAGCCGUUGGAGCAUCCCAUAACGGCCAUAAACGGCUAGUUCUUCCAUUUUUCUUAUAAAUAGCCCCCCAUAAUCGAUUAUUAGUCACUACUGCUGAAAUCAAAUCUAGAGCUAAAAUCCUCUCCAUUUCUCUUCACUUUCUCAAAGUCUCACUCCCUUAAACUUCCUUCAUGGCUAAUUCAAGAAGACAUUGCCGCAGAGCUGCUGGAGCGUCUUCUUCCUCUCAAUCACGUCCUACAACCAUAGAUGGAUGCAUUUCAG
This 452-nucleotide long non-coding RNA is filed under the name Vigna radiata. RNAcentral's name for it is "long non-coding RNA (VRAD_LNC011136)". The record is from RNAcentral. Lineage: Eukaryota; Viridiplantae; Streptophyta; Magnoliopsida; Fabales; Fabaceae.